AAUCUUUCGCAAUGGGCGAAAGGCUGACGCAGCCAUGCCUCGUGAAUGAUGAAGGUCUGAGGAUUGUAAAAUUCUUUCACCGGGGACGAUAAUGACGGUACCCGGAGAAUAAGCCUCGGCUAACUUCGUGCCAGCAGCCGCAGUAAUACGAAGGGGGCUAGCGUUUCUCGGAAUUACUGGGCGUAAAGGGCGCGUAGGCGGAUCGUUAAGUCAGAGGUGAAAUCCCAGGGCUCAACCCUGGAACUGCCUUUGAUACUGGCGAUCUUGAGUAUGAGAGAGGUAUGUGGAACUCCGAGUGUAGAGGUGAAAUUCGUAGAUAUUCGGAAGAACACCAGUGGCGAAGGCGACAUACUGGCUCAUUACUGACGCUGAGGCGCGAAAGCGUGGGGAGCAAACAG
Molecule: ribosomal RNA, 398 nt
Filed under: uncultured bacterium
Lineage: Bacteria
Description: partial 16S ribosomal RNA
Rfam family: Bacterial small subunit ribosomal RNA
Source: RNAcentral